GACGGGUGAGUAACAUGUAGGUAUCUGCCCUUUGGCCUGGAAUAACACGAGGAAACUUGUGCUAAUACCGGAUAAGUCUUUACGGAGAAAGCUUUAUGCACCAUUGGAUGAGCCUGCACUUGAUUAGUUUGUUGGUGGGGUAAUGGCCUACCAAGACUGUGAUCAAUAGCUGAUUUGAGAGGAUGAUCAGCCACAUUGGGACUGAGACACGGCCCAAACUCCUACGGGAGGCAGCAGUGGGGAAUCUUGCACAAUGGAGGAAACUCUGAUGCAGCGAUGCCGCGUGAGUGAAGAAGGCCUUUGGGUUGUAAAGCUCUUUCGUCGGGGAAGAAAAUGACUGUA
RNAcentral lists this ribosomal RNA (342 nucleotides) under uncultured bacterium. Its description in RNAcentral is "bacterial SSU rRNA". It matches the Rfam family "Bacterial small subunit ribosomal RNA", at positions 100 to 459 of the family's 1533-position model. The record is from RNAcentral.